Ovis aries (sheep) is the source of this 73-nucleotide transfer RNA. It matches the Rfam family "tRNA". Rfam says of the family: Transfer RNA (tRNA) molecules are approximately 80 nucleotides in length. Their secondary structure includes four short double-helical elements and three loops (D, anti-codon, and T loops). Lineage: Eukaryota; Metazoa; Chordata; Mammalia; Artiodactyla; Bovidae. The record is from Rfam.
UCCCUGGUGGUCCAGAGGCUAAGACUCUGAGCUCCUAAUGUAGGGGGUCUGGGUUCGAUUCCUGGUCAGGGAA